RNAcentral lists this unclassified non-coding RNA (621 nucleotides) under Hevea brasiliensis (rubber tree). The record is from RNAcentral. Lineage: Eukaryota; Viridiplantae; Streptophyta; Magnoliopsida; Malpighiales; Euphorbiaceae.
ACUCCACUUUGACCCCCACCACCUAUCUCCAUCUUUGACUGUAUAAUAAUUAUUAUGUGAAAUUACAGGGACUGAAUUACAAAAAUUUUGUUUCCCUGUAAUCUAGAGCUAAACUGGGAGAGAGAGAAAGAAUACCCAUGAAAAGGCAAAAGCUGGAAGUGAAUGAAGAAAAAGGUUAUUGUGGUAGCGGUUGUGGCUACUCUACGUUGAUUUUCUUAAAAGCAUUUUUUUUUUUUACAAUUAUAAUUAUUAUUUCUAAUAAAAGACUCCUCAAAAGAAAAGGAAAUAUGUUGAAAGCACCGACACAAUCAAUAAUAAUAAUAAUAACUUGCUGGAUAGUAUAAAUAUUUCUAUUGGUCCUUUUUGUUUAUUCAACAAAAGCUUAGCUGCUCGUACCUCAUAAGAUAUGGUGGUAGUUGGCCAUCCGCCAUGUUAAAAGCUCCCCAAAAUCCUCACAAAUUUCACCUAUAUAGCCUAUAGCUAGAGAUGUAGGUGUAAAUACCCUCUUCUCUCUCUUGGAUUUUUUCUCUGUGUUGUGGAAUCAAAUUUGCACACUAAUGAUGGGAGAUGGCGUAUUAUAUGAGCUAAGGGAAAUUUAGAGGGAAUUCAAUAAUGGAAAAG